This 854-nucleotide long non-coding RNA is filed under the name Equus caballus (horse). RNAcentral describes it as "lncRNA (ENSECAG00000045682.1)". The record is from RNAcentral. Lineage: Eukaryota; Metazoa; Chordata; Mammalia; Perissodactyla; Equidae.
GGUGGACACACGGAUGGUGACAGCCCUGGGCUGGCUAGGAGAGACAAGACCAGGAAAACAGCCAAGCAGGAGGGUCUGAUGGAUUCUAAAGAAACAAAGUAGCUGUGUAAUGAAGAACCAACCUUACCCAACAGAGGUCUGGCCUUUGUCCUCAACUGUGGAGAGGUGAUCUCUAGGUCCCUGGAAUGUCCUGCCCAACAAGAGUGUUUUUGUGAGCUUGGGGCUUAGGUCAUUGGACAGUCUAAUAAUGUGAUUUAUGACAGAGGCUUUGGGACACACCAUGUGAGUUCCAACCUCCAGAAGGGGCCGGAGACCAAAGGUCAGCCAUGUGGGCCAUAUGUGAUCAAGCUCCAGUAAAAACUCUGGACACCAAAGGCUUGGAUUCUCAUAGCUGAUGGAUUACGUAUAAAGGACCUAAAGAUUCUACAAUAUCCUAACGGUGCUGAAGAAUCGCCUUGAUGGAAUAAGAACCAUUAGGUGGCAGCACAGGGCGUAUCUUGUCAAAUCUUUCUACAAUGGGCUGGCAGAUGUGAGGCACCAAACUGUCUAGCAAGGGAUAACUUAGAACCAUAUCAGGGCAAGCACUUGGGCUGAGACCAGCGAGAGGAUAAGAGCUGGCCAAGAGCCUCCCAGUCUCACUGUGCUGUUCAUAGUGGAAAGUGUGGAGCUGCCAGGAGAGAGGAGGGGUUGCAUCAUAUGGUGACAAAAGAAUGAAUCCCACCCAGAGGAAGCAGAGCCAAGAAAUGGAUCCCUGUUGUUUGAGUCCUGGAUCAAAUCGUGCCUGGAUCCCCAGUGAGCCAAUAAAUUUUCCUUAUUGCUUCAGCCUGUUUGAGAUGGUUUCAUUUCACUUGGAA